RNAcentral lists this ribosomal RNA (1562 nucleotides) under Vibrio natriegens. RNAcentral's name for it is "bacterial SSU rRNA". It matches the Rfam family "Bacterial small subunit ribosomal RNA". The record is from RNAcentral. Lineage: Bacteria; Pseudomonadati; Pseudomonadota; Gammaproteobacteria; Vibrionales; Vibrionaceae. RNAcentral also lists the same sequence under 1 other name.
AAAUUGAAGAGUUUGAUCAUGGCUCAGAUUGAACGCUGGCGGCAGGCCUAACACAUGCAAGUCGAGCGGAAACGAGUUAACUGAACCUUCGGGGAACGUUAACGGCGUCGAGCGGCGGACGGGUGAGUAAUGCCUAGGAAAUUGCCCUGAUGUGGGGGAUAACCAUUGGAAACGAUGGCUAAUACCGCAUGAUGCCUACGGGCCAAAGAGGGGGACCUUCGGGCCUCUCGCGUCAGGAUAUGCCUAGGUGGGAUUAGCUAGUUGGUGAGGUAAGGGCUCACCAAGGCGACGAUCCCUAGCUGGUCUGAGAGGAUGAUCAGCCACACUGGAACUGAGACACGGUCCAGACUCCUACGGGAGGCAGCAGUGGGGAAUAUUGCACAAUGGGCGCAAGCCUGAUGCAGCCAUGCCGCGUGUGUGAAGAAGGCCUUCGGGUUGUAAAGCACUUUCAGUCGUGAGGAAGGUAGUGUAGUUAAUAGCUGCAUUAUUUGACGUUAGCGACAGAAGAAGCACCGGCUAACUCCGUGCCAGCAGCCGCGGUAAUACGGAGGGUGCGAGCGUUAAUCGGAAUUACUGGGCGUAAAGCGCAUGCAGGUGGUUUGUUAAGUCAGAUGUGAAAGCCCGGGGCUCAACCUCGGAAUAGCAUUUGAAACUGGCAGACUAGAGUACUGUAGAGGGGGGUAGAAUUUCAGGUGUAGCGGUGAAAUGCGUAGAGAUCUGAAGGAAUACCGGUGGCGAAGGCGGCCCCCUGGACAGAUACUGACACUCAGAUGCGAAAGCGUGGGGAGCAAACAGGAUUAGAUACCCUGGUAGUCCACGCCGUAAACGAUGUCUACUUGGAGGUUGUGGCCUUGAGCCGUGGCUUUCGGAGCUAACGCGUUAAGUAGACCGCCUGGGGAGUACGGUCGCAAGAUUAAAACUCAAAUGAAUUGACGGGGGCCCGCACAAGCGGUGGAGCAUGUGGUUUAAUUCGAUGCAACGCGAAGAACCUUACCUACUCUUGACAUCCAGAGAACUUUUCAGAGAUGAAUUGGUGCCUUCGGGAACUCUGAGACAGGUGCUGCAUGGCUGUCGUCAGCUCGUGUUGUGAAAUGUUGGGUUAAGUCCCGCAACGAGCGCAACCCUUAUCCUUGUUUGCCAGCGAGUAAUGUCGGGAACUCCAGGGAGACUGCCGGUGAUAAACCGGAGGAAGGUGGGGACGACGUCAAGUCAUCAUGGCCCUUACGAGUAGGGCUACACACGUGCUACAAUGGCGCAUACAGAGGGCGGCCAACUUGCGAAAGUGAGCGAAUCCCAAAAAGUGCGUCGUAGUCCGGAUUGGAGUCUGCAACUCGACUCCAUGAAGUCGGAAUCGCUAGUAAUCGUGGAUCAGAAUGCCACGGUGAAUACGUUCCCGGGCCUUGUACACACCGCCCGUCACACCAUGGGAGUGGGCUGCAAAAGAAGUAGGUAGUUUAACCUUCGGGGGGACGCUUACCACUUUGUGGUUCAUGACUGGGGUGAAGUCGUAACAAGGUAGCGCUAGGGGAACCUGGCGCUGGAUCACCUCCUUAUACGAUGAU